UUCUCUGGAUAAGUAGAAGAGAAGUCACUAAAAUCAUUGCUUGCGAGAAAAGAACAACUUUGGCAUCAAGGAUUAAAUGAUAAUUAUGUAGAAGAAUCUAAUGUAUCUUCAUGUUUCUGCAAUCAUACAAAGAGAGUUGGAUAUGUGACUAGGAGAAAAGUUUUUCUUGUAAUUCUUUUACUAUUGUAGAUUAUGUCAAUCAAGUCUCCACAUUGAUUAUAGUUCCUUCAGUGACUAGUAAUAACAUUUCUCAGAAGAGGCUCUGGCAUGAAAUAGAGCCUUUCUCUGGCGUGUGAAACAUGGCCAUUCAAAAUAACCUUUUUGACCAAAAAAUCAUGGAGGAAUGAUGUAGAAAUGAGUAUCAAUCAAACAGAUUUAAUGAGAUUGAUUCUGUAGGAUUUCAUGCAGACUAAUGUAGAAAGUCGUCCGUGGGAUCGAUCAGACCACAUGAAAUGCCUAAGCUUUUGGAGGAUAGAGAGCCCUGAUUGCAAUCGAAUCAAUCAAGGGUCCACAAGCAGGGUCCUCCUCUACUCCUGGAUUGUGGAUCACAAUCUCAGCCACAUCAAGCUCGGCCUGGAAUGCCCAGGCAUACGAGUCCCACCCGUUGCUGCUGUACAGGGUCUGCAUUGGAAGCACUCCCGAGUCGGGCGCAACUGAUAUGUUGAGCUUCUCCUCCUGGGCGCACGUCCGGGCUGCACUGAACGUGAUAGAGUAGUACAUGCCCUUCUGCACCCGGAGACGCUGCUUGAUCGAGGCCUCAUUCCCGAGCCGCACCGCGAAUGCGCCCUCGGGGACGACCAGCAGCAUGUCGCCCUGCUUCUGGCCCGACUUGAUGUACUCCACGAAGCCGGAUAUCUCCCACUUGGGGAUUGCAUACUUACCGAUCACCACCGUGCCUUUCAUGUCUGAGGGCUUGGGCGCGAGCUCAAAGUUCCCGUUCGGCACUAGCCCUGUGCCAGAAAAUGAAUCGGGCAUAUUUUAACGAAUGAUCAAUUGAUCGGGUCCACAGCCAUGUACAAAAUUUAACUCAUUAGGCCGAAGUUGAAAAGAGAGAUUGGACAAAAAGGACAUAUCAUAUGGGGCAUUAAUUGUGACCUAGCAUAAGCUUUUAUUGCUCUCACUCAAGGACCAUCUGGUCUGCAAAGUACUGCACAGUUUACUGCAGGAGAUGACCAAUGACCAUAUGGGUAUUAUUAUUGCUUCUUCUUCCCUCCUCA
This is a long non-coding RNA of Eucalyptus grandis, 1217 nucleotides long. RefSeq lists it as uncharacterized. The record is from RefSeq and is a predicted model, not a curated record. NCBI's taxonomy places the organism in Eukaryota, Viridiplantae, Streptophyta, Magnoliopsida, Myrtales, Myrtaceae. The transcript has 2 exons.